RNAcentral lists this ribosomal RNA (369 nucleotides) under uncultured eukaryote. Its description in RNAcentral is "SSU rRNA". It matches the Rfam family "Eukaryotic small subunit ribosomal RNA", at positions 587 to 972 of the family's 1831-position model. The record is from RNAcentral.
AGCUCCGCAAGUGUAUUCCUAUACUGUUGCGUUUAAAUAGCUCGUAGUUGGAUCUGCGUGUUUAGCGCGCGGUGUCAUUUUACAAUGGCUACUGCGACGCGACACUGUACGCCAGUUGACGGCGCCUCGCGGCGCAGUUGCUGGCAAGUUUACUUUGAACAAAUCAGAGUGCUCAAGACGGGCGUUUCGCUCGAAUGUUCUUGCAUGGAAUAAUGGAAUAGGACCUUGCGUUCUAUUUUGUUGGUUUUCGGGACGCGGGUAAUGAUUAAGAGGGACAGACGGGGGCAUUUGUACUGCGACGUGAGAGGUGAAAUUCUUGGAUCGUCGCAAGACAGACUACUGCGAAAGCGUUUGCCAAGAAUGUUUUCA